RNAcentral lists this ribosomal RNA (441 nucleotides) under uncultured bacterium. Its description in RNAcentral is "partial 16S ribosomal RNA". It matches the Rfam family "Bacterial small subunit ribosomal RNA", at positions 338 to 795 of the family's 1533-position model. The record is from RNAcentral.
CCUACGGGAGGCAGCAGUGGGGAAUAUUGGGCAAUGGGCGCAAGCCUGACCCAGCAACGCCGCGUGAAGGAAGAAGGCUUUCGGUUUGUAAACUUCUUUUAAGGGGGAAGAGGAGAAGACGGUACCCCUUGAAUAAGCCACGGCUAACUACGGGCCAGCAGCCGCGAUAAUACGUAGGUGGCAAGCUUUGUCCGGAUUUACUGGGUGUAAAGGGCGUGCAGCCGGCAGGACAAGUCCGAUGUGAAAGCCCGGGGCUCAACCGCCGAACUGCCUUGGAAACUGUUUGUCUUGAGUACCGGAGAGGUAAUCGGAAUUCCUGGUGUAGCGGUGAAAUGCGUAGAUAUAAGGAGGAACACCAGUGGCGAAGGCGGAGUACUGGACGGCAACUGACGGUGAGGCGCGAAAGCGUGGGGAGCAAACAGGAUAGGUACCCCUGUAGUC